Long non-coding RNA from Asparagus officinalis (garden asparagus), 4015 nucleotides. RefSeq lists it as uncharacterized. NCBI's taxonomy places the organism in Eukaryota, Viridiplantae, Streptophyta, Magnoliopsida, Asparagales, Asparagaceae. The transcript is spliced from 4 exons. The record is from RefSeq and is a predicted model, not a curated record.
GAAAAAGAAGUUGAUACUCGUAUUCUCAAUUUCAACCGCAGACUGCUGUUAGAAGUGGGAUGGAGUGGGGUUUAUCAUAAUAAUCUGGAGUGUAGAUAAAAAUCCCCAUUUCCUAGACUAGCUUUAAAGAGAAUUAGGGUUCUCUGCGCUCUGCAGCUACCCGCAAUAAAACUCCCUCGUUUACAUCCGCCGCUAGCAAGCAAGCAAGCAAAACCGUGCCCCAAAUCGACACCAAUACGGUGGUGAUCGGAGACGCGGCCGUCGCCAACAUCAUACAGAAGUCGGUGGAGAUUGGGUCGGACUGUGAAGCAUGAGCUUGGGAGGCCCAAGAAAGCUCUUCCUCGUGCGGUGGCAGCGAAGGGAAUGAUCAGAGGAGAGCGCGUGGUUUUUCCUCUGCCUCCAAAAGAAGAUUCGUCAAUUUUAGUAAAAGAGCCUUUUUAAGUCAGAUCCCGCCGUCGAGAAAUCGAGGGAGACUAUCAAGAGGCUAGAUGGAGUCGCAACGGCUGUGGGAAGUUUCGGCGCCGCGAUGAAAGAGGGCAAGCAACCGCGCCAACAGCGUCAAACUCGGGGUUUAACCGAGAGGAAGGCGGUCGGACGGCACAAAGAGAGGGAGGAGGUGCUGCGAUGGUUGAAAGAUGAGGAUGAGAGCGGUAGUAAUGUCUCUCUCUUCUUCUCCGUCGUGGGGCCGUGGAGGAGUGGGGAAAACCACCUUAGCUCAACUCGUGUACAAUGAUGAGAACUUCGCUAAUUCUUUUAAUCGCAAAAUCUGGGCGUGUAUCUCCACUCGCUUUGAUGUCAAGAAGACCAUGACAGGCGUGACAGAAUACGCUGCAGAAAGUGGACCCGGAGUUGGGGGACUUGGCGCUCUGCAGGAAGCUCUUAAGAAGAUGGUAUCGUCUGUGGGAUAUUUAUCCUUGUCUUGGACGAUGCAUGGAAUGACGACAAUCGUUCUGAUCGGGAUAAAUUACUUGCUCCUCUGAGGAGCGGGCAUAAAGGAAGCAAAACCUUGUUAACUACUAGAACGGAGAGGGUUGCAGAAACGGCUGCAUCGGCUUCCGGAGGAUCAACAAAGGAACCAAUGAAAUUAAAACCCUUAGAUGAUGACAGCUUCCUGUCACUUUUCAACCAAUAUGCAUUUGCUGGUGAAAAUUCAUAUGCUUAUAGAAAAUUGGAAUCCAUUGGCGAGCAAGUAGCAAGAAGGCUUGGGGGCUUUGCCGUUUGUCACAAAGACUAUUGGAGCUCUGUUGAAUUCUAAAUUGGACGAUAGUCAUUGGACCCGAAUCUUGAAAUCAAGCUACCAUCAUUUACCAGUGCACCUAAGAUCUUGUUUUGCCUAUUUGAGCAUCUUUCCUCAAGAUUAUAUGUUUAUCAAAGAUGAUCUAGUCUUCAUGUGGACGGCUCUCGGCUUCAUUCAACAAUCUCCCCAAUAUCCAAGGGAGACACCGAGGAUAUAGGAAGGCGUUACUUUGAUGAUUUACUGAAGCUAUCAUGUCUCGAGCAAAUAUUACUACACAGAUCACUACACCAUGCAUGCUCUUUUGCAUGAUCUGGCACGUAAAGUGUCUCAUGAUGAAUGCUUUAGAUUUGUCAAAGAUAAGAAAAUUGAUCAGAUCCCAAAUACAGUACGCCAUUUGUACUUCAAAAUUGAUAAACUUAGCCUUCUUAAAGAUGUGGACAAAUGGAAGAAUCUACGCACCCUUGUGUUAAUCUUCAGAGGAUAUGUUAAUGAGCAUGCUAAGGCUUUUGAAGAAGUGUUUAAAUCACUGAAAAGCAUUCGGGUGUUGUGCCUAACUAUUGACGGCAUGAAAGUAUUGCCAAAUGCAAUUGGUAACUUGAGGCAUCUCAGGUACUUGUCAAUUCAUCAUGAUAUUCCUCGGUUGCCUGGUUCAUUCUGCAAGCUUUACCAGCUGCAGGUUCUGGCUAGUGAAAAAUUUUCUACUGAGUCUGUUCUUGGCUUGAAUGACCUCAUUUGUUUGAGACACAUGAUCACAAGUUAUGUUUAUUAUGAAAAAAAUCGAAGGGAUUGGAACACUGACUUCAUUUCAAUGGUUGUCAUUCCCUGCUAAUGCAUGAAAAAUUAGCAAAAUGAAGGACCUGACAGAGCUCCAUGUAACUGAUGAUCAGUGGCCUUAUGAAUGAUAAACCUUGCGAGGAAGUUAGUAUGAUUGAGUUGCAUGGAAAAAAAAAACCUCAUCAAGUUACAGUUGGUUUGGUCUUUGGUCUGAUCAUGGUGAUGUGGCGGAUGAGUACGAACUGGUUCUUGAUUGCCUACAGCCACCCGAUGGCCAAGGUGCCAGGUCUCCAUGUUAGAUGGAACCAGAAUUAUUAAAAAUCUAUGAAAUGAGGUCUCCUGAGGGUCUAUUGUUGUGACUCGAGUAUCUGGUUCACUUUUUAUUAAGUUAAGGCCUGACAUAUCUUUAGAUAUCUCGUCUAAUCUCUUAUUUAGUUUAUUAAUCAUGUCACCAAUCUCAUGGUAGAAAUGGAUGGCAAGAGAAUAAAUGAGGGAAGCUACAACAUACCAUUGAUGAAUCAGAUGAUGUAGACGGUAGCUAGAUGGCCAACCGUCUACAUCAUCUGAUUCAUCAACGGUAUGUUGUAGCUUCCAUCAUUUAUUCUCUUGCUUUAUUAGCAUCCAUUUCUGCCAUGAGAUCGGUGAUAUAACUAAUAAAUUAAAUAAGAGAUCGGACGAGAUAUCUAAGGAUAUGUCAGUCCUUAACUUAGUGAAAAGCGAACCAGAUACUCGAGUCACAACAAUGGACCCUCAGGAGACCUCAUCAAUCCAGAUCCUUUCUUUUUCGCAUUGUGGUGAAUUGGACAGUCUCUUUCCUACAUUAUUAAUGCAAGGUGGCCUAACUUGUCUUUAAAUAUUGAGUUGCAUGGUUGUAACAACAUAAUGUCCUUUCCCUCUGAAGAGGCCUGUGGAGUCUGUGGACGAUUAACUUCACUGAGUCGGCUGACGCUGAUAAAGUGUGGAGAGUUGACAUCCGUUGAGGGUUUAAAGGCUCUUCCCCACCUCCAUGUGCUUACUAUUUAUGACCGUCCCAAACUUGUGCAAGCAGUUGCAGCAGCAACCUCGACGUCAAUCAAGUGGAAGGAGGAGGAGUUCACAUUAACCGUUGACAAACUUGAUAUCGAUGACCUUUUGCUGCUGCACAUAGAGCCGAGCCAUUGAGAAAACUCACAUAUCUUAGACAGGUGCAUAUAACAGAUUGUAGUCAUCUCGAGGGUGCUCACACAGAGUCAUGGUUGCUGCAGAACACGGCUUCACUUCAAUGUCUCUAUCUGAAUAAUAUUGCAAAGAGCUUGCCUUGUAGCCUCCAAAAUCUCUCUUCCCUCAAGUACUUAGAACUUACUGAAGCUUAUGAGCUUCAGUCAUUAGCUCAACUGCCUUCGUCUCUGCCAAAGCUGAAGAUUUGGAACUGCAACGGGACACUGAAGGAGCAGUACCGGGAGAAAGAAGGUGCCUAUUGGCCCAACAUCCAACACAUCCGUUUCGUUAGGAUAAGUUGAUAGUGUCAUUUCUGGCAAAGCUAUUGAUGGGUUCAACUGCAGAUAAGCAAGACGCAGGGCAAUGAUCCUUUUCUGUUUCAAACAGUAUAAUGCAAUCGUGAGAGUAAUUAAAUCAUGGAGCUCUUUCUUGGAUGCUUUGAUGCUCUCUAUUGACCGGAAAGGAUUGGAUAUCCUCAGCAAAGUUGCUCAACAAGCAGUGACGGCCUUAGCACGAUGUGGAAGGAGUUCAGGUUCAAUUUUGAAAACGAGGCAAGUGAUCUUUAAGCUUUCUAUUCAGAGUGUUAAAAGCUACAGUGGGCUUGGCUGAAGAAGUAGACAGUUUCACUACAAAGUUUUCUUUUGACAGUCAUCUUUAGUGGGGGUUGAUGUUGCAAAGAGAUUGAAGGCUAUCUGAACAUUUGCUUGAUAAGUUUGUAUCAGUGAUCCUUUAAUGCAACAAUAUGUUUGUUUUACUGGAGAGAGUUGUGUACAAGAUUUUUAUCUCUAGAAAGUAGAUUUUGUCUUC